UGCAAACCCACCUGUGCACAGUUACACCUGGUUUAAGAGAUCAGGAACACAGGAUAUAGAAGUCGGAUAUGCGAACAGUUACACCAUCAAAAACAUCGCCAUUACAGACAACAACUACAAGUGCAGGGCUUCCAACAAGCACGGAUCUGCAUUCUCAGAGUACCAGACACUUAAUAUUUUAUGUAAGUAGCAAUUUUUAUAACAAUAUUAUUUAUUAUAAGAAUUACUUGAGAACUUUCUGGUCAAUAAGGCCUUCAGAUACAGGAAGCCUUGUUGUACUACGAAGUACUGUACUGUUCUGUUUGCCCACCUACAUUCUUUUAGACUCCCCAACGGAGGCCUCUACGUCUGUGAUUCUGACAUGCAGAGCUGAUGGGAACCCACCUGUAGAGUAUAUCUGGUACAGAGAAGGGGAAAUCACACCUGUGGCAUACGGGCAGACCUACAGGAUUACCAGUUUCAGUAAAGACAACAUUGCACAGUUCUACUGUACAGCUGGUAAUGGAAUUGGGCCUCGGAAUGCAGUUUCUGUACCGGUCACCUUUACAGAAGAGUGUCAUAAAGCACAGGUUGCAGCUGCUGGCAUUGGUGGAUACUGUGGUGGUCUCAUUACAGCAGCUCUCUUCUACGUUCUGUGGAUGAGGUGGAAGAAGCAGAAUGGAAAUGAAUCUGAGGUACGUAAGAGCAGGAGGAAGUUCGGAAAAAACACGGCAAUCGAAGAGGAUUAUGAGAACGUUGACCCAGAGUUCAAGGAUGACACAUACAACACUCUUAAUCCAAGGACCGGCUCCACAAACGAUGUGUACGAAACUCUAGCGACUACGGGCAGUGCCACCUGUGCCAUGACAGAGGUGUAGAUCCACAGAUCACCCUCUUCCUCAUCCUCUGACUCCAGUUCUGUGAAUCCGUCAUCCGAACCAUCAAAGGGAUACUGAAACCACUGAGCAGACUGAGCCCAAGAGGAGAAGCAAAGGAACCACUGAGAAUAAGAAGCUAAUGCUUGCAGUUUAUGCUAAAGGUUGAUGCUUAAAACACAGUUUUAACAUGUGUGAGAUCAUUAUUUACCUGCCUAAGCUUUAAAAGAGCCUAUUCAGAUUUUCCUAGUUUCCCUAGUUCGGCAAAAUAGUAUAUUCAUGAAUUAACUACUAAUGCUUAGUUGCCUUUGUUUUCUUUAGUUUUGAUUAAAUAUGUUAACUUGUUCUUUGAUGAUAAAAGAAUAACAGAGUGUGCCUUUGGUUGUGGUUAAAAUGUUCAUAUAUUACAAGACCUAAAUUAAAGCAUAGUUUUUACACUGUAACAAAAAUACAGAGUCUUACUAUAUAUCUCUACUGUCCUCUUCUUGCAUCUUUUAGACUUGAAGAUGAUCAGGUGGGGUGGUAACCAAAUGUUACAGCCCCUCCUGAAAGUCUAGAUGUAAGAGAGGCAUAUAACAUGCAGUGAAGGGUGAUUGGGUGGGUCUGUGCUGGUGAGACCGUAAGGGAGAAAAACACACUGGAAGAGCAGUAUUCCCAAUGCAACAUAGCUAUAUUCAGUAAAUUGUUCAAAAAAGGGAACUUUUUGUGUCUGGGAGAUUUCAGAGCCGCUCAGUCAGACUGUACUACAUGUUAAAUGCUUCUCUUACACCAUACCUGUAUAAAACACACUUGCUGCUUGGCAUUUUUUUACAUUAUUGAAAUGUGUUCCUUUAUAAUAAUGAAACAAACCAUCCCUGCUUAAAAAAAAAAUGAAUAAAUCUUUCCAAACUGUGGAAAAAAU
This 1755-nucleotide long non-coding RNA is filed under the name Astyanax mexicanus (Mexican tetra). Its description in RNAcentral is "lncRNA (ENSAMXG00005010910.1)". The record is from RNAcentral. Lineage: Eukaryota; Metazoa; Chordata; Actinopteri; Characiformes; Acestrorhamphidae.